Molecule: ribosomal RNA, 428 nt
Filed under: uncultured bacterium
Lineage: Bacteria
Description: bacterial SSU rRNA
Rfam family: Bacterial small subunit ribosomal RNA
Source: RNAcentral
UAGGGAAUUUUCGGCAAUGGACGAAAGUCUGACCGAGCAACGCCGCGUGAGGGAGGAAGUACUUCGGUAUGUAAACCUCUGUUAUAAAGGAAGAACGGUAUAAUCAGGGAAUGGGUUAUAAGUGACGGUACUUUAUGAGGAAGCCACGGCUAACUACGUGCCAGCAGCCGCGGUAAUACGUAGGUGGCGAGCGUUAUCCGGAAUCAUUGGGCGUAAAGAGGGAGCAGGCGGCAGCAAGGGUCUGCGGUGAAAGACCGAAGCUAAACUUCGGUAAGCCGUGGAAACCGGGCAGCUAGAGAGCAUCAGAGGAUCGCGGAAUUCCAUGUGUAGCGGUGAAAUGCGUAGAUAUAUGGAGGAACACCAGUGGCGAAGGCGGCGAUCUGGGGUGCAACUGACGCUCAGUCCCGAAAGCGUGGGGAGCAAAUAGG